UACGUAGGGUGCAAGCGUUGUCCGGAAUUAUUGGGCGUAAAGAGCUCGUAGGCGGUUCGUCGCGUCGGCUGUGAAAACCUGAGGCUCAACCUCAGGCCUGCAGUCGAUACGGGCGGACUUGAGUACUGCAGGGGAGACUGGAAUUCCUGGUGUAGCGGUGAAAUGCGCAGAUAUCAGGAGGAACACCGGUGGCGAAGGCGGGUCUCUGGGCCGAAACUGACGCUGAGGAGCGAAAGCGUGGGGAGCGAACAGG
RNAcentral lists this ribosomal RNA (253 nucleotides) under uncultured bacterium. RNAcentral describes it as "partial 16S ribosomal RNA". It matches the Rfam family "Bacterial small subunit ribosomal RNA", at positions 524 to 776 of the family's 1533-position model. The record is from RNAcentral.